This is a long non-coding RNA of Girardinichthys multiradiatus, 291 nucleotides long. RefSeq lists it as uncharacterized. The transcript is spliced from 3 exons. Lineage: Eukaryota; Metazoa; Chordata; Actinopteri; Cyprinodontiformes; Goodeidae. The record is from RefSeq and is a predicted model, not a curated record.
UCUGAUAUGAGAAGAUCAGAGGAUUUAUUUGCCGAUCGAAGACCGUGCCACAACCGGCGCAGAUCGCUAGAAAUCCAUCGCCCGGUACGCAGCGGUCCAUGUGGGGUUUCAGUCUGCGCAGCCUCCAGAACGUCUGGAGAACGGAAAUCCUGCACAGUGAAUUCUGUGUUGGUAACCGCCGAAUCGACCGAGGGGCACCGGGAAGGUGGAUCAACGCGUUCCGACAGACAGUGUGAAUGAACGCACAGGAGGGAGUAGGCAAUCCGCCAGGAGGAGAGGGAUUCGGACUGG